UCGGCGUUCGGCGUCAUACAAAUUUUUAUUCAUUUUAUAAAUAAAAAAGGUUUUUAUUAAUAUAUCCUAAAAAAAUUUUCGACAAUAAUCGCUUUCAGUUAUCGAUUAAAUGUCUCAUCUCCCAUCUCUAAAACAUUUAACAGCUGAGUGCGUAAUUAAUUUCACGAAAUGGAUAAGGCAUUGAACAUGUAUUCAAUUGAACUACAGCGCAACGCAAGUCGUAAAAGUAAAGUGUGGGAGUUUUUUAGUUUAAUUUGUUAUUUCGCUUGACUCACUUAUUAAUAAAAGGAAAAAAAAAA
Long non-coding RNA from Drosophila subpulchrella, 299 nucleotides. RefSeq lists it as uncharacterized. The transcript is spliced from 2 exons. Lineage: Eukaryota; Metazoa; Arthropoda; Insecta; Diptera; Drosophilidae. The record is from RefSeq and is a predicted model, not a curated record.